RNAcentral lists this ribosomal RNA (253 nucleotides) under uncultured bacterium. Its description in RNAcentral is "partial 16S ribosomal RNA". It matches the Rfam family "Bacterial small subunit ribosomal RNA", at positions 524 to 776 of the family's 1533-position model. The record is from RNAcentral.
UACGGGGGGGGCAAGCGUUGUUCGGAAUUACUGGGCGUAAAGGGCCCGUAGGCGGCCAACUAAGUCGGAGGUGAAAUCCCCAGGCUCAACUUGGGAACUGCAUCCGAUACUGGAUGGCUUGAAUCCGGGAGAGGGAUGCGGAAUUCCAGGUGUAGCGGUGAAAUGCGUAGAUAUCUGGAGGAACACCGGUGGCGAAGGCGGCAUCCUGGACCGGUAUUGACGCUGAGGCGCGAAAGCCAGGGGAGCAAACGGG